CGUCCCCGGGCCUUGUACACACCGCCCGUCACACCACGAAAGCCCGUUGUACCUGAAGUCGCCGGAGCCAACCCGCAAGGGAGGUAGGCGCCCACGGUAUGGCUGGUGCG
RNAcentral lists this ribosomal RNA (110 nucleotides) under uncultured bacterium. RNAcentral's name for it is "partial 16S ribosomal RNA". It matches the Rfam family "Bacterial small subunit ribosomal RNA", at positions 1369 to 1475 of the family's 1533-position model. The record is from RNAcentral.